RNAcentral lists this ribosomal RNA (497 nucleotides) under uncultured bacterium. Its description in RNAcentral is "partial 16S ribosomal RNA". It matches the Rfam family "Bacterial small subunit ribosomal RNA", at positions 28 to 507 of the family's 1533-position model. The record is from RNAcentral.
GACGGACGCUGGCGGCGUGCCUAAUACAUGCAAGUUGAGCGCUGAAGGUUGGUACUUGUACCAACUGGAUGAGCAGCGAACGGGUGAGUAACGCGUGGGGAAUCUGCCUUUGAGCGGGGGACAACAUUUGGAAACGAAUGCUAAUACCGCAUAAAAACUUUAAACACAAGUUUUAAGUUUGAAAGAUGCAAUUGCAUCACUCAAAGAUGAUCCCGCGUUGUAUUAGCUAGUUGGUGAGGUAAGGGCUCACCAAGGCGAUGAUACAUAGCCGACCUGAGAGGGUGGACGGCCACAUUGGGAACGAGAACACGCCCAAAACCCUACGGGAGGCAGCAGGAGGGAAUCUUCGGCAAUGGACGAAAGGCUUACCGAGCAAAGCCGCGGGAGUGGAGAAGGGUUUCGGAUCGUAAAACUCUGUUGGUAGAGAAGAACGUUGGUGAGAGUGGAAAGCUCAUCAAGUGACGGUAACUACCCAGAAAGGGACGGCUAACUACGUG